Molecule: transfer RNA, 33 nt
Filed under: Scincella lateralis (ground skink)
Lineage: Eukaryota; Metazoa; Chordata; Lepidosauria; Squamata; Scincidae
Description: partial tRNA-Thr
Source: RNAcentral
UAGGUAAACAGCCUUAGUAGCUUAAUAAAAGCA